Molecule: long non-coding RNA, 3198 nt
Filed under: Nicotiana tabacum (common tobacco)
Lineage: Eukaryota; Viridiplantae; Streptophyta; Magnoliopsida; Solanales; Solanaceae
Description: long non-coding RNA (NTAB_LNC017241)
Source: RNAcentral
ACACAUUCAAAUUCAUAUCACACUAAAGUUAUAAAAACACAUAUUUGAUAAUUUAAACAUUAUACAUUCUACAGUUGCCCCUAAUAAGUAAAUAUGCAGAUGUGCUAAGUAUUUUCUUGGCGAUUUGUAUUGUUGUCACCUGAUCAUAUUCUCACAUCCACCGAAUAAAGUAGGCUCACUCGACACAUCACAUGCUGAAACAGAGAAUUUUGAUCAAAAACUUAUAAAGAAAUAAAAUUUUGCCAACAAGCUAAAAGGAAGAUCUGGGUAUAUAAAUAAACGAAAGGUCUGAUUCUUCUUACAAAUAAAUCUGUUACUUGAUCCAACAAUAGCAUUGAACUGAAGUUGUUAGAUACUCAACAUGAAUAAGAGCUAAAGUACAAAGCUAUUUCCUUGGAUAUCAUCACAACACUUACAUCCACAAACUAUUUACUUGAUAGCAUAAAUUCUUGCCAUAUAUUCACGAAAAUCAUAAUGUAACUAAUAAAUCAUAAGUUAACCACUAUAAGCUUUCUAACUUUUAGAAUCAAACAAAUAAAUUAUAAGCCGUAAUCUAUCCUAAUGAUUAACAAACUUAUGAUUAACAAACUUGCAUCAAAACUGAAGGCUAAUAACACUAGGAAAUUGAAGCAGAAGAAAUGAACUGAAUAAAAUAGGAGUGGUCUGAUAGGAGUAGUUAGUUAAACAAACCAAGCAUGUUAAAAUCUGUUGGAUCCAACUUCAAACAAAAGAAGCAACAAAUUAAAACGCGCAAAACUUUUUCUAAGGCAUGAAUUCUACUAGUAUCUGUAUUAUCAGUAAAAACUACAAAAGAAUAUAUAACAAAUUACUCUUAGUUACUUAAUGUAACCUGAGGAAAAGAUGUGAAAAGAUUUAGAAGAUGAGUUAACAAGCAUAACUUACCACUCAAUGCCAUCAUAACAAUAUAUCAAUCAGUUAAACCAAAAUAUGCAUAGAUUAGCAUUCAAUCAAGUUGACUUCAUCAAAGUUUUUGUCCCUAGAAUUACUCCACAGUAAGAGAUCCACUUAUGGGAACACAUACGAAUGCAAGAUAUAAAAAAUAAGGUGAAUCAAAUGUGAAUACCAUUUCUGAACAUAGCUUUAAACCAAAUAUGAAUAUCAUCUCUAAACAUACCUAUAAACGAAAUAAAUAAGCACUACUUAAAGAUGCAAUAUUGUUACCUUUAAAUAAAAUACCAUAUUAAAUAAAAAAUUUAUUCGGAUUUAUAUGCAUUUGUUGCUAAAUAAGUAGCAGUAUUUGCCUCGACUACAUCAUCAAUUAGAUGGUCUGUAGCUAGUUAUAUCCCAACUCUUAGUAUGGCUCAUUCUCAUAACCUUCAUCUUCCAUAACUUCUUUUGUAUCAUACAAAUCUCUUAGCUUUAGGUUUACUAAAAAUACUUCAUCCUUAAUUGAAAACAUCAUCUACAUAGUACCCCAUAUUUAUGCUUGAAAUACUUCGAUGUAAGGCUCAUGUUCUUCACCCUCAAUCUCGAAUAAUUAUAUAGAAAGUUGGAGUAUAUUUUCUUUUUUCCAAAUAAAUAAAACAUCAAUAGCAUACAAAUAAUUUACCUGCCUAAUGAUCUUUGUAUGCUAGAAUUAUUCAAAUUUGAAGGCAUAUAUAAAAUAUGCUCAAAAACUUAUGCAAGACGUACAUAAACUAGUUUUUACAACAAAAUGAGUCAACUUACCUGAUAGCGGGUUUGAAGUUACACCAUGUCCAGUAAUCUUAGAAACGUGCACAUCUGCAAUAAUGAUAUGAUGCAAGACAUAUUACUAGAGGAAGUUUUUAUUUGCAGUAAUUCAUUUUUUAAGGAAAGUGAAAAACUAAACUACUAAAGUAUGAGCUAGAGAAGGAAAAAUUUGUCACCAUAGCAAGUAAAAGAUAUGCAUGGGGGCAUUUUUUAAGACGAAUAGGCUUAUAGGUAUUUAAAAAAGGAUAUUUAGUACUUUUAAUACAAAAUUAGAGUUUUUAAUAUAAGAGGAAAUAGAGCUCUUUAGAUAUGUAAAUAAAGUAAUAGUUUGACAUACUCAAAAUGAUAGAUGAAUAGUUUUCUCAAUGUUUCACUUUUACUCCUUCAUUAGAUAAUGUAUAAAAAAAUUCACUCUCUCUUUCUUAAUAUGUCCAAGUCAAUCUUUCUUUUCUCCAAUAUCUUUAUAUUUCAGAAACCCCUAUAUAUUUUCUUUCUUUCUUUUUAAUAUUCUUACUCACUUGUUUUCUCCAAUAUUUCAUUACUCACUUUCUUUCUACAAGAUAUCAUUAGCUCCACUGUUCAACAAUACUUUUAAGCUUCUAAUAAUUCUAUACUUCUAUUGCUCUAUAAAAUAUUAUCUAAUAUUUACAAUAUCUCAAGAAAGAUUAAAUGAGCUGGUUAUAUUAUCAAUUGAAUAAAGACAAUUAUAGAAAAUCAAUUAUAAAAAAAUAUUAUUAACAACAUUGUAUCUCAAAAAGUUAGAAGAAUAUACUUCAAGUAAAAACGUAUGCUAUAACUUUCUUUUAAAAAAAUAGGCCUCAUAUUAAACUUUGGUCUUAGGCUCUGCAUAUACUUGAGCCGCUCAUGUCUCCCAUAUUAUAUUAAUUUAUGGGUCAAUCAAUUUCAACAUCACACAACAAAACUAAAUUCUAAUUGGAAUCUGGAAAAGCUUUACCUUAAAUAAAGGAGCUUCUUAUUACAACACUGAGUAGUCUAUAGCCUGAAGCAAAACAUUUAAUGGUCUUUCCUCGAAUAUCAACACUCUUUAAAAAAGAGAAUAAGUUUCAAGCUAGAUUGUCCAUAAGGGUUUCAUUACUGGUUCAAGCAAUAACUACAACUGAAAACCCAAAUUCUACUGCUACUGAGAUAAAGAAAAUAAAUGAAAUUAAGAGGAAAAGAAAAAAAGAAAAAAAAUUACCUUUAGACGAGCAGUGACAUUCUGAAGUUGAUUCACCCAAAUGAAUACUUCACUUCAGAAAUUCCCAAGAUACAAUGCAAUACCAAUAAAUCGUAUUCCUAGCCUGAAAAUACCUUAAUAAAAAAUUACUUAAAUUGAAACAAUGGAGCAACGCAAAAGACAUAAUCUGUGAUUCAAAAAUCAUAGCAGGAGCCAUAAAUUGAGAAGAAGAAUAAUACUUACAAAAUGUAACUAAUAUGGACAGAAAAUUGCGAGAGAGCGCAUCUGAAGGGAAGCAAUGCACUAGAGAAGAAGCAGUUCAGCCGAAG